GGCCUAACACAUGCAAGUCGAACGCCCCGCAAGGGGAGUGGCAGACGGGUGAGUAACGCGUGGGAAUCUACCUAGUUCUACGGAACAACAGUUGGAAACGACUGCUAAUACCGUAUACGCCCUAAGGGGGAAAGAUUUAUCGGAAUUAGAUGAGCCCGCGUAAGAUUAGCUAGUUGGUGGGGUAAUGGCCUACCAAGGCGACGAUCUUUAGCUGGUCUGAGAGGAUGAUCAGCCACACUGGGACUGAGACACGGCCCAGACUCCUACGGGAGGCAGCAGUGGGGAAUAUUGGACAAUGGGCGAAAGCCUGAUCCAGCAAUGCCGCGUGAGUGAUGAAGGCCUUAGGGUUGUAAAGCUCUUUUGCCAGGGAUGAUAAUGACAGUACCUGGAGAAUAAGCUCCGGCUAACUCCGUGCCAGCAGCCGCGGUAAUACAGAGGGUGCAAGCGUUA
Molecule: ribosomal RNA, 450 nt
Filed under: uncultured Alphaproteobacteria bacterium
Lineage: Bacteria; Pseudomonadati; Pseudomonadota; Alphaproteobacteria
Description: bacterial SSU rRNA
Rfam family: Bacterial small subunit ribosomal RNA
Source: RNAcentral